RNAcentral lists this ribosomal RNA (553 nucleotides) under uncultured crenarchaeote. RNAcentral describes it as "bacterial SSU rRNA". It matches the Rfam family "Archaeal small subunit ribosomal RNA", at positions 325 to 879 of the family's 1478-position model. The record is from RNAcentral. Lineage: Archaea; Thermoproteati; Thermoproteota.
ACGGGGUGCAGCAGGCGAGAAAACUUUGCAAUGUGCGAAAGCACGACAAGGUUAAUCCGAGUGAUUCCUGCUAAAGGAAUCUUUUGUUAGUCAUAAUACCACUAAUGAAUAAGGGGUGGGCAAGUUCUGGUGUCAGCCGCCGCGGUAAAACCAGCACCUCAAGUGGUCAGGAUGAUUAUUGGGCCUAAAGCAUCCGUAGCCGGCUCUGUUAGUUUUCGGUUAAAUCUAUAUGCUCAACAUAUAGGCCGCCGGGAAUACUACAAAGCUAGGGAGUGGGAGAGGUAGACGGUACUCCGUAGGAAGGGGUAAAAUCCUUUGAUCUAUGGAUGACCACCUGUGGCGAAGGCGGUCUACCAGAACACGUUCGACGGUGAGGGAUGAAAGCUGGGGGAGCAAACCGGAUUAGAUACCCGGGUAGUCCCAGCUGUAAACUAUGCAAACUCAGUGAUGCAUUGGCUUGUGGCCAGUGCAGUGCCACAGAGAAGUCGUUAAGUUUGCCGCCUGGGAAGUACGUACGCAAGUAUGAAACUUAAAGNAANNGNCGGGGGAGCAC